AUUGAACGCUGGCGGCAUGCUUUACACAUGCAAGUCGAACGGUAACAGGCCUUCGGGUGCUGACGAGUGGCGAACGGGUGAGUAAUGCAUCGGAACGUACCCAGAGGUGGGGGAUAACGCAGCGAAAGCUGUGCUAAUACCGCAUGUGAUCUGAGGAUGAAAGCGGGGGACCGCGCAGCAAUGUUUGGCCUCGCGCCUUUGGAGCGGCCGAUGUCGGAUUAGCUAGUUGGUGGGGUAAAGGCCUACCAAGGCGACGAUCCGUAGCUGGUCUGAGAGGACGACCAGCCACACUGGGACUGAGACACGGCCCAGACUCCUACGGGAGGCAGCAAUGGGGAAUUUUGGACAAUGGGCGCAAGCCUGAUCCAGCAAUGCCGCGUGCGGGAAGAAGGCCUUCGGGUUGUAAACCGCUUUUGGCAGGAACGAAACGGUGUCCGCUAAUACCGGGCGCUAAUGACGGUACCUGCAGAAUAAGCACCGGCUAACUACGUG
RNAcentral lists this ribosomal RNA (492 nucleotides) under uncultured bacterium. RNAcentral describes it as "partial 16S ribosomal RNA". It matches the Rfam family "Bacterial small subunit ribosomal RNA", at positions 29 to 507 of the family's 1533-position model. The record is from RNAcentral.